GCGAAGGUGGCGGAAUUGGUAGACGCGCUAGCUUCAGGUAUUAGUGUUCUUACGGACGUGGGGGUUCAAGUCCCCCCCCUCGCACCA
This 87-nucleotide transfer RNA is filed under the name Escherichia coli. RNAcentral describes it as "tRNA-Leu". It matches the Rfam family "tRNA". Rfam says of the family: Transfer RNA (tRNA) molecules are approximately 80 nucleotides in length. Their secondary structure includes four short double-helical elements and three loops (D, anti-codon, and T loops). The record is from RNAcentral. RNAcentral also lists the same sequence under 1 other name. Lineage: Bacteria; Pseudomonadati; Pseudomonadota; Gammaproteobacteria; Enterobacterales; Enterobacteriaceae.